UUUUCAAGAUGGACAAGAGAACUGAAAACUAUUGGUGUGAGUGGAUCCAUUCUUAACUGGAAAUGUUAACAAAUUCUUAAAAAUGUUAAGACAUUUUUGAUCUUUGGGAUGUGUAACUGCAAAACACAAUUUGGAAUAUCCAUGUAAAAGAAGAGGUCUUAUUGGUUGGGAAGUAGGAAUAUUGUUCUUUAAAUGAAUUCCGUAGAAAGAAACCCAGUUAAGAAUGGAUCCACUCACACCGGUGGUUUUCAGUUCUCUUGUCCAUCUUGAAAAUCUUUUUUCUGCCAAGCUCAUCUGGUUUCCAUCCUAAGCAGGAAUUACUUGCUCAUCUCUAUUUCAGUGCCAUGAACACGCACUUCCUACAUUUGGAAUGUCUUCUGUUUCUAUCCACUGCUUCUGUCAGCAGUUGGCUAAAAACUCAGAUUCUGUAGGAAGCUUAUCUGACCAACUCCACUGUCUUAGGAUCCUUUUUCUAUUCUACUUGCCUCAAGUUCAGUGUUGCCAGAUUUAGCAAGCAAUAAUACAGGAUGCCCAGUUAAUUUGAAUUUCAGAUAAAUAACAAAUACCCUGUUCUCUUCUUUUUAGCAUGAGACAUGCUUAUACUAAAAAUUAUUUGUUGUUUAUGAAAUUCAAAUAUUACUGGGGGUCUUGUAUUUUAUCUGGUGACUCAAGUUUAAAGAUCUUGGGAAAAAAAGUAACCUCCCAACCUUGUUACACUUUAUUAUGUUGCUUUCACAUUUUUCCAUGAGUUAUUUUAUGUGUAUAUUUUGCUUUCUAAGUAGAUUAUAAACUCCUCGAAAGUGGAAACUGUCUUUUGUUUUUGUAGCCUCCUCCUCCCCAUCGUGCUCCCCACACAAUGCUGAUCAUCAGUUUUGAGCUCAUGUUUGAUGAUGAAUGAAUACUUCCAGGGAGCUUUGUUUUGGGUUAAAGAGAAAACAACCUGCAUCCUUGAGAGAAAUCUUUGACUGAAACAUAAAAUACUGUAAAGCUGAGUAAGAAUUAUUUUUAGAGCCAAUCUAAAUUUCUAAGGCUGAUUAGAGUACAGUCAGAAGUUAUUACCGUAUUUUCUUCUCACAAAAUUACCCCAUUAUCUCAUCUGUGAUACACAUUUUUAUUACAUUUUGUAGCUGCUUCUUGCUUCACUUAAAAAAAAAAUUGUAGCAGCAGUUGCUUUCCAUGGCUUUAAUCACUAAGCCACCGCAAACGACUGCCUUAUACCAGAUUCACUAUCUGCCACGUCAUAAUCUGUGUUGGUAAAACUCGGGCCCUUUUGAAUCAGCAGAGGGAGCCAACUUCAGUUUUGAUUUCUCUCUGCGGUUUAAGAAUUAGCUGACUUCUAAAAGUUCAAAUGUAGAGGCGACUAUUUGAAGGCCAUUUAUUUGUUCUUAGGAUUGACAAUGUGGGCCUAGAGUGAGCGGCCAGAUGGGUGUCCUCAACUGCAUUUUACAGAAGACACAGCUGAAACCCAAUCACCUGCCCAAGGUCAAACUCUGAGAAGGUGGUGAGUCCCCGAAUCCUCGUGGGAUGUGCUGCCACCAGCAUGAGCUGCUUUAUGAAAUCGACGCACCGACACUCAGAUUCUGAGGUUCCAACUCAAAUGAGAUGGGCUCACAAAGCACAAGAUGGCCUCCCAUAUGAGAUCAGAUGUCGCCCUCAUUGAGGGAAAGGAAUGUGCUUACAACGCAGCAGACCCUCAAUGUCGUUGAACGUGUGAAUACUGCUGGAUUUUUCCGACACUGGUAUCUGCCCCUUAGACUUUUCCCUGUAGGCUCGGCUGCCUGAAUGGACCUUUAUCUGCAGGCCACCAACUAGACUUGACGUUCUUCUAGACUUACUUCAUUCCACUUGAAUUUCCACCCCCGUAAUUGGCUUUCCUGGAAGAGCAACUCACUUUUCACUUCUGUACUCUACCUAGAUUAACAUCUAAGGCUUUACCUGGACCAUGACUUAAGGCUGCAUGCACACAGGAAACCAAGAAAAACUGAAGAACUGGAUGGAAAAGACAGAAUCCAUUGACCAGAGAUAGGGAGAAGUUCGCCGGGUGGAGCAAGAGAAGGGGAAGCAGAUAGCAAGCAAGACGGUAGGAGCAAGCAUAUCAGCCACAAAACACAAUGAAAUGAGAGCUAGUUUAUCCAGUUGUGAUUCCACUACGGUCCAUCACCGCCAGAGCUGAGUAGGACUCUGAAAUGAGGACUCAUGGAAACAGUACAGAUUGGAUCGAAAGCAGCAAAAAACCCGAUGAUGGUGUUUCAGGCAAGGAAAGUGGAUAAGCAACUGAGGGAAUGUAAAAGUUGCUAAAGGCAGCAUUUCGAGACAACGGAGAUGCUCACACCUUGGACCUGUGUGUCUAGGUUCAGGGACAGAAGUUUAUCGAAUGUGUCUUUAGCUCAGCAACAUAGAACAAGGGCUGAUUUCUACCGUUUACCCCUCACUGGACUUCACUUGAACUUACAGCGCUCCCCAGUGAUGCUACAGAUAUUAAACUGAUGGUUCCUGCUUCCUUCCUCUGAUUUCUUUUAUCUCCACACAAUACUUAGUUUUUAUGGGGAUUGGCCAUCUUAGUGGCUUAUGAAAUGAGAGAUGGCUUUGGCCAGAAGGUAUAAACAAGGCUUACUGUUUGAAGCUUCGCUAUUUGUAUUUGAGUUAUUUUCCUGGUCACAGACACAGACUUGCAGUGAUUCGUCAUUCAUUCAUUGCCCUGAGCCCCCAGCCCCUCGAAGGAAUGUAAUCCAAAUUUCCUCAAGCUGCUGACUUUCCACAGAUAGGGGGACUCAAGUGCCCCUGCUCAGGCCACUAGCUGUGUAAUGAAUGACUUCCGUUUUUGCUCAGACUUCCACCAAGCUAUUGCUAGGAGCCUCUGGGGCUGCCAUAUGAGAUCAUGAGCGCUGUUUCCACUUUGGACUGUCUUGUCAGCACCUGGGAUUUGAGGGCAGACCUCAUUGCUUCCAUUAUACAGCGUCCGAUGCACCCCAGAUCGUAAACCCUGUGGCGCCUGUGGCCCCUGGCCCAUCUGCAUUUCUUUCUGCACCUAAACCUAAACCACCCACGAUCUACACAGAGGUGAAGCUAUGCGUGAUGUGAUGGCACAGGCCCUUCUCCCCCGCAGGGGUCUCUGAGCCUCCCGGGGUCCCUCCUGCAUACGGCAUCUUGACUCUUAUCUGUAGCCUUCUCCCGAUGCCUCAGAUAUGAGCCCACAGGGUUGGCUGUGGUCAGUAUCAGACGUGGACUCUCCAGCAGUCUAUACGACAUGCCCAGACCACCGUGAAUCCCGUGAGUGGGUGCAAAUUAGUGCGAAAUUUGGACCCCAGCCUCUCAUGUAAUUUUCAGAUGAUUUUCAGACAGAUCCAGCUCAAGGCUUAAAGUGAAGUGAUGUUUACAUUCAGUGGAAUGCACUGCUUUUGGCUCUCUAUCCUGGCUACCAGAAGGGCUGUCCCUGACCCAAAGCGUCUGUGCCUCUGGGAGCUUGUUAGAAAUGCCCAGUCUCAGGCUCCAGCCCAGACCUACUAAAUGCAAACUUGCCUUUUAACCAGAUCCCCAGGUGAUUUACAUGCACACUGAAGUCUGAGAAGCACUGCUGUAUAUCAUAACUGACAGAUCAGACCGUACUUAGGAAAUGGUGCUAAAGUGAUUUUCCAGAUCUGGGGAGCCCCUCAGCAUAGAACAUUGCAAGUAAAUCCAGUGAUUGCUUGCUAUUAAAUACCUAUAGAGCAUUUUUUCUGUCUUUACGUACUCUUUCAUUUGAAUUCAGAUUUUAUUUUGGGAUUUUUGAUAUUCAUGUUAGUCAAUAAUGGAGGUUGAUAUUGUGUAUUAACUUGAAUUCUCCCUCCCUUCCAUUCUUCUUGGGUUAAGAACUCUGAUAAUAGAAGGGAACUAUAGACCUGACAUUCAAGGAAAAUCCAGAAAAUGAAUUCUUUUUUAUCUUCAGGCAGAGCAGCUCCAAUGAAUAGAGAAGUGUAAUAAAGCCUUUUUAUAUGCCUGUCAUAGAAAGACAAACCUUUUCCAAAGGAAAUGGAUUUGAGUAUUUGCGAGGUAUGAUAAACAGCCUGACAAAAACGAGCCUGAAUUUCCCUUUUAAAUGUUCAGCAGGGGGAGGUUUUAACUUCUCCUGUCAGGUAAAAAAAGAAUUCAUUAUGAAAGCCAUUCUAGCUGAAACUCAAAAAUGAAAACGAGGCCCGAUCAGAGUGGAAAGCAAUGAUUUAGAAAUGUGUUAAAGGGAGUAGUUUAAUGAAUAAAGUGUCAACUUUCCAUAGGAGCAAAAAUAAAUCACGCAAAGGCUUAACCAGUUUUGUCGCUGUGAAUUAGCUGGGCGUAGUUGGGACCAGCACACCCUGUAAGGAAACAUUAAAAUCUAAUUCUCGCUGAGAUUUGUGUACGUGCAUUGUUGAUAAUGAUGUUAAUAAUGGCAUUGUAUGCAUUUUACGACUUCUCUUUCCAGCAAUUGCCAAAAGCCGGGGGAAAAUGAGGCGCAGUUGAACGAAAAUGGCCCCAAUUCUCAGUUUUUCCAUUCAGCGGAAAGCCUUGAGGCCUUGAAUCCACCCGUCCAGGAAUGACCUGAUGUCCCGCUGCAGAAUAGUCUAGACGCUCGGUGUUGCUGUCCUUGGUCUUGGUUCCUAGGUAUCUUCCUUUCCUAGGGCUGCCCUAUCAGAGUACCGCAGACCAGGUGCCUUUAGCAGAACUUCAUCGUCUCACGGUUCCGGAAGCCGGAAGUCCGCGUCAAAGUGUGGGCAGGGUGGUUUCCUGUGGGGGUCUGGGUGGGAGAACAGGUGCCAGCUUCUGGUGGUUUGCUGCCAAUCCUUGGCUUUAGAUGGACCUCCUUUAUCUCUGUUUUCAUCUUCACGUGAUGUUCUCCCUGUGUACAGGUCUGUAUCCAAAUUCCCACUCCCCCCACUUUUUAAAGUUUAUUUAUUUACUUGAGAGAGAGAAAGAGAGGGGGAGAGAGAGAGAGCAUGAGCUUGGAAGGGACAGAGAGAGGGGGAGAGAGAAUCCCAAGCAGGCUCAGUGCAGCUCCAUUCCACAAAUGGUGAGGUCAUGACCUGAGCCAAAAUCAAGAGUCAGACGCUUAACCGACUGAGCCACCCAGGUGCCCCCUAAAUUCCCCCUUUGUUAGUCAUACUAAAUUAGGGCCAAUGAUCUUCUCUUAACGAAUUACAUUUUCAGAGAUUCUGUUUCUAAAUAAGGUCACAUUCUGAGUUACUGGGGAUUAAAACUCCAGUGUAUCUUUUUCUGAGACACACAAUUCAUGCAACUCACCAGGUGGGACUGCUUUGUAACAAGGUUGUUUGAUUUGUUAAUAACUAAACUCGCAAGUUUGUAGCACAAUCCCUGGGCGAGUGAUCAGAGUGCAGCAAAUCACCAUGGAAUAAAUAAAGUAAUUCCUAACCUAGGCAUACAUACUUAUGAAGCACCGUUAGGUAUCUUUGAGGCAUGGGUUGUGUAAUACUUAUUUUAUUAGUAAGGAAAUGGAUGCAAUAAGAGGUUAACAGAGUAUGCUUCUCACAUUCUAUAGUUAUCUGGUUUAUUUUCUUAGUAUUUGUCGAACGAAAAAUGAGGGCAAGGAUCUUGGGUAGUUGCUUAAUACAAUGUUGACCAACUGAGCUUGGUACUUGUGAGAUGGUCAGAUUCACGUAAUUAGUGCUGGCUCUUAAGUACAGUGUGAAGCAACAGCACAGAGUGAAAGUACAAAUUUGUGAGAACGAGAAGACUGGAGCUUUAAUGGAGAACUCAUCGGAUCUAAGGUAUCAUGAGAAAUCGUUCAACUUAAUGCUCACACACAUUGGUGGGUCUCCUCAGCAGACAGCGAGGGAAGGCAAUCAUCAUAUGCAAGUACUCCUUGCAUGCCAAGGACAGAGGAGCAAAUGUGCACGUGUAAAGCAAUGCUUACAUUUCCUUCCUCCUUCUCCUUUUCCUCUUUGAUGUGUUGAGUCCCCACUGGUACUCACUGACAUGCUGUUGCUUGAGAUUUGCUCUUUACUAAGUAAGGAAAACCAAAUGAUUGCAUUUUAGCUCGUUUUCUUUUUUUCCUGCUGUUCAUCGAAUGGCAACCUUACAAUAACAGGUAAGGGAAGCAGGAACAGAAAGGAAGGGGAAAAAGCAGAGCCCUGCAUAAUUUGUGCAUGGAGGUUCUUUUACAAAAUCGUUUAGAAAUGACUAGAGAUUUAUAUAAAGUUUUCUCUUGUAAGACGGUAAUUUUCUUGGGGUAAAUUCAUUUUUCCAUCUUCACCAUUGGAUGGAAGUAUUGCAGAGUGGGAAGGGGCCUUACAAUUUGUCAAGUUCAAUUCUCAUUUUAUAGGAGGACAUUGAAGCCCAGAGAUGAUAAGGUACUUGUCCAGGGUCACAGAAAUUAGUUUUUACCAGAGCCUGUACUGGCUACUAUGCUUUCUUCGUGCCCAAGUCUAUUUUUUUUUUUUUUUUUUUUAGUAUACUAUAUAUUCCCUCUCAGAACUGAGAGGGUUUUUUUUCCUCCCCUCCCUCCCACCUCUUUCCUUUUCUUCUUUCUUUUCCCUUCCUUUGCUUUUAGAUGCUGCUGACAGCUGUGUUCCCUGUGGGAGAAAUUGCUUACCUGGAUGCCUCACUCUGCACACUGGAGUCUCCACUGUGUGAGUCUGGUGGGCACAUCCUGGUGAGGUAUCAGUUGCUAGGAGUCCCUGGAGGGGCAUUUUGCUGUACCAGACUAGGUAAGGGUCAUGCACGGGAUAGGUAGGCAAUGACUGUGGGGUCAGAUCACAUGUAGAUUUCUCUAGGGGUAACCUACACUCUAUCCUAUGAAACAGUCAUGAAUACCACCCAGUGGCAUUGUGAGAUUCAUUUCCACUCCCUCCUGGGGAAACCCUUAGCAAGUGUGAGCAGGAACCGCCCUGUCUUUCCUUACACAUUCUGCCCUUUCUCAGCUGGCCUGUGCUGUUCUGGUCUUAAACCACUCCAUGGGACUGCUUGAUCGCUUCUAUUUGGCCCUUGUUAGGGAACUCUGUUCCCUUCUGCCCUUGCUCCAAGUUCAUUUGCAGCCUGGGUCUACCUUAAUGGUAUUUAAAGGAGGCAGAUGUCCCUCAGAAUGCUCAGCAAAAACAUCGUCUUCCUGUUGACCACGCCUGCAGAGAGUCUCUCUUUCCCAGGCUCUGGGACCUGUCCUCAUCUCUGUUCUGAGCAGCUGGGCUCUGCUCCACUGCCUCUGAGUCCUACUACUGUGUUUUCUGCUACACUGUGACAUGGGGAAAGGGCUUUCCCCUUGGCUUGAUUUGGUAAAAGGAAUAACUUCUGCACUGGAGCCAAGCGGAAGAUGAAUUUUCCUUGGCUUUAACCACAGAGACCAUUAUCUUUCUCAGCUGUGGGGCUCCACCAAGCUUUUUUCUUGGCUGCUAAAUUUCUCCAUUUUACUUUUCACAUUUUCGUAUCUUCACUCUCAGUGUGGGCUAGGCAGGUGGACUAGAGGCACCUACUAUCCCCCCGAAACAAUGCUGGUGGCUUGGUGGGGAGAGGAAAUGGUCAUAAAUAGCCCUACACUAUGAUCUGGAGGGGAGAAUGCCCCCAGCGUUUGUGUCUUCUGAAUAUUGCCUUCAGAAAUGGUGACUUGAGCAGUGAGGUUCUGCUUUUGGAAAACCCCAAAAGCAAAGCCAAAACCCCAAACAGAACUCUGGUCCCAAGAGGGAGGCAGUGAGUCCAGGAUGGAGAAGAAGAUGACAGGGGGUGGAGCUUGUAUUCCCAGGUGAGCAGUGGCACCAAAUGUAGCUGGAGGGCUGCAUACAUCGACCUUUGAACUGUCAUGGUUCUACUGUUGUCUCUUUCCUUCGAACCCUCAGCUCGUUUGUCUUUUUCUCCUACUUCUACGCGACUCCUCUUCUAUCCCCACCACCCUACUGAGACAGUCAAGCCAGCCACCAACAAUGUGUCCCCUCCCCUCCCGGAUGUGGGAAUGUUGCAGGGAGGAGGCAAGCUGGGCAGGCCUUGCAUUUCCCAGCCCUCCUUGCCUACACAUGUGGCUGUGCAGCAAGUUUGCAGGGAUGGAACAUGGGCAGAGGAAUGUCUGUCACGUCAGGCUGCACUUUGGAGAGAGAGUGUGCCUUCACCACCACCUCGUUCCCCUUCCACCAGCUCACCAUGGAGGAUUCCGGAGCCCUGAAAACACGGUGAAGUGUUUUCAACCUUGUCGUUCAUUGGAACCAUCUGGAAAGCUUUAAAAACUCUCGCUGCCCAACCCCCUACCCCAGAGAUGCUAAUUAAAUUGGUCUGGGGUGUGGCGGGAGCAGCAGGAGUUUUAAAAGGUGUUCUAGAGGCUAACCAAGGCAGAGAACUGGUGCUCUGGAGGGGUGUGGAGCCCCAAGAAGGAAAUUGUCAUGGAGAAGAAAGCUACCCACUCGCCAGGAACACCCACGUUGGAAUGUUACUUAAAAGAGAAAGAAACCUUUAUUCUGUUAAGUCCUUGGGAAUUUGAGGUUUAUUUCUUAGAUCAGCUCAGUUGUCCCAAUUAAUGCAUCUUUUUUAACGAACACAGAGAAUGCCUCCUCAGCAUGCCAAGAUUUUCUCCCGACAUCUUUCGGUUGCUGGGUUCUAUUGGAUUCAACUGUCCCAUAAGUGGGCGACAGGGGUGCUGGUGGGGUGCAGAGCCACCCCACUGCUCCGGCAUUUGAGGUGCUACUCCUGCAACUGUGAGAACUUUCAAUCAGGUACAGUGUCCCUGUCAGAGAUAAGCCCACACAGAGAUAAUCAUUGUUUUAUUUGAAAGAUGGUGAUUUCCUCAGGUUUGCAUUUAUCCUGUGAUUCUAUUAGUCUGUGUGAUUCUGCUUACUGAUAUUCCGUGCUCAGGAUGUUGUCUUCUACUCUGUGGUUGGUGAUAGGAUACCAUAUUUAAUUUUUCCAAGUUUUCUGAUACCACUCAGUGAGAAAAAUAAUGGUUAGUGUUCAAUUGCGGAAGGUUUCUCAAGUAAUUGUCUCAAAACCGCAGGGCAUGUAUUUGAUUUCUUUGAUUGAUCUGUUUUGUGUAUAUAUUUUUCCAACAUCUUGAAUAAUUUAGGAGCAAUCUUGGUUUGUGGCUAAUUUGGUGUCCAGCAAUUAUGCAUCCUUCUGAAGCUGCCAUUCGCUCAAGUGUCUGAAAGCAGGAGAGAAGAGCCUUAUAACAAGACUCAUUGUUACGUGAACUUGGGCAUAGCAUGUGGCCACUCAGGUUCCUGGAAACCUGGUGCUUAUCUUCAGGUCAAGGUGUGUUCUAAAAGCAUAAGCACUGUUCCAGGGAACACACAGGGACUUUUGAAAUAACCAAUGAAAAGGAAGAGAAGGGAACCCCAUAAUCUCAGGAUGAGAACCCCAGUUCCUUGCUAUGGUUGGCCCUGAGUAUCUGGUCCUCUCUCACUUCUCCUGCCUCACGUCUCACCUACAUCCCUUCCCAUGAGAAUCCUGGAAGUCUUUCUGGAUAAGUUGUGCUCAUUCUAGCUUUUCUGCCGAUCCAUGGGCUGGUCCAUGAGAAAGCACUUGGGGAAUGUGCCAUCCAGCUGACCAGAAACCACAAGUCUCUAUGAUGUUGGACCCAUUCUGGUUGCAAGGAAGAGACGUGCUCAGAAUGUUCUGGGAUUUAUUUCAAGGACGCUCAGGGAAUGGAGAAAAGCAGAAAACUGUCUUAAUCCCUGCACUGCUGGACUCACAAAAACCGGGCAUGAUAUUUGGGAUGUAGAUCGUGGUUCGGGAUAUAACAUGGUUUAUCUCAUUGUUGCCUACCUUGGCUGGUGUUUCUUGUUACGGCCUUUCAUCUAUUUCUGCCUAAGCUUUCGCUGUCUGGUGUUGCUGACUCACUCUGCUCUCUACCUCGUAGGUUUGGUUUAUUCAUGGCUGCUCUGUAUUGCUUUUUUCAAAGUGAGUUUUUCUGUUUCCUCUGCCUCUGUUUUCCUCUCUGUGUGUUUGGCAUUUGGACUUGCUAAGAGAAGGACUGCAGGCAGUCAGCAUCCUGGAUGGGAUGGCGCCACCGAGCUUUGGUUCUGGGCCCUGCCCUGGGGCAUUGGUCAAUGAAGAGGUAAUCGCCUUUAGGACAGAUGCUAAGCCUUGGUCCAAUCAGCUGUAGCCAAGGUGGCAAGGUUACUUGGCAGAAAAUAUAUCACCCUAGGAUAAGAAGCAUCAAACAGGGGUGGGUCAGCAUGGUAAGUGAGAAAAAUUUCUGAGAAGCAUUUCUUCUCAGAAAUGCUUAUGCGGGCUGCUUGGUACUUGGAAAUAAUAUAAGACAGCAAAUAAGUGUUGUAUUAGUGAAACAUGCAAUCAGUGUGCUAGACCCAGGCGAGAAGGGGCUGAGAUCAUUAUGGUCUGGGGUGGGCACGCCUCUGCUUACAAUCUUGAGAAUAAACUUCUCAGGAUGGCAUAAGGUCUUUAUGAUAUCAAGCUUCUGCUUACCUUUCCAGCUGCAUUUCCAGCUCACAGGAUCUCCCUGCGGUCACUGGAUGAUUGUACCAUAUUUAUUCAGAUGCCGCAAGGAAGAACUGCUAUACUUCUUUAACCUUGAGAUGAAGCAUUGUCUUUGCCAAAACCUUGACAUAUCCCCAAUACCUAAUACCUUUCCCGUAGCCCUCUGGACCUGCCUCUUCUGGCGGUCAGAGCUCCCGAUUGUGAAUCCUGGCUGACAUAUCCACCUUGCUCACUGGACUGUGAGGAAAGGUGCUGACUGUGAUUUAUUCAUUUCUGUAUCCCAGCAACAAACCCAGGGCUUGGUACCUAUUAAUACUGUCAGGGCUCCUGUUUAUUGAGUUAUUACUCUGUUCCAUGUACUGUUCCAAGUGUUUUAUAUGUAUUAACUAAUUUAAUUCUCUCAAUCAUCUUCUAAAUAGGAGCCAUUAAGAUCCUCAUUCUAUGUUUUGGGAAGCUGAAGCACAGACCAGUUGAGAAACUUGCCCAAGGUCACAUAAGCUAAUAAUUGGUGGAGUCAGGAUUCAAGUCAGGUAACUUGUUCCAGUCUGUGCUUUGUCCACUGAGCUAUACUGCCUCUUGGCAAUGAAUCUUCUAGAGGAAGUAGUAGGUAUCCAAUUAGUGUUGAGGAAAUAAAGGAAUCAAUGCAGGUAUUUUAAGGGAGAGGAAAAGGCAGGGGCAGGCACUGUAGGAGAGGGAAAUCAGCCAUGCCAAAACAUAUCCACAGAACAGCCAAGUAUCAGCCGUGGGGGACAAGGCUGGAUAUGUUGGUUGGACCAGAUGGUGGACACAGUCAAAUGACAAUGGGUCGGGCUUUUGAGGAGGGGAGUGAUGUGAUUCAAAGCAAGUUUUAAGAUUAAUCUGGCUUCAGAGUACAGGAUGAUUUGAAAUGGGAGGAGAAUAGGCACAGAGGGUCCAAGUAGGAAGCCACUGAAAUAGUCUUGGGAAGCUGUGUAAUGAGAAGAUCAGAGGACCUGGAGUCGGACAAAUGUGGGGUUUGAGUCUUGAGUCUGUUGCUUGCUAGCUGCGUGACCUCUCCCAAUCUUUGAGCCCCUAAUCCUUCAUAUAUAUGACAGGCAUUAUUACUCACCUCACAGUUUGUUAUAAGGAUUCAAUGCAAAUGCAUGUUUGCCAAGGGCUUAGCACAGAACCUGAUCCUGUUCUUCUUUUGUUUUGGGUCAGGUGAUUAGGGCUUGUGCCCCUGAUAUAGCACUGGCAAGGGAAAGAACAGGAAAAUGAGACUCAGUAGAAUUUGCUGAUUGACAGGUGCUGGGAAGUCGGGGCAAGAAAGGGUCAGUGAAUGGUCAGUGUGGGUAGUAAUGUCAAGAAGCCUAGGUUCCGGGUCUCGUUUUGUCACUAACUACUUUGGACAUAUCACUCAUCCACGUGGCUAGAUCUCCGUUCCUUCCCUGGAAUGUAAAAAUGUUGGACAAUUGCUCAUUUUUCUUCCAGCUCUGAAUGCUACAGCACUUUAGCCAGGAGGUUUGGAUUCUGGACAACGGGGAGAAUAUAAACGAUGGCCAAGCUUUGCCUUCCCCUUCAAAAAGAUUUUCCCGCCCCCUCUAGUUUUAUAAUCCCACCCUUUCUUCUCCCUCUGAAAUGGCAAUAUCUUUGUACUCUUUUGUUUUGGGCAAACAAUCCCAAAAUCUAGGCCACUGAUGGAGGGUUUUACGACCAGAACAGAAGGUGCAUCAGAGAUGACUUUUUUGCUGGAGUCCGCUGGUUGCCCUAUCUGACCUGAGCCUCCCCAUUUCUCUGAGAGGCAGAAGCAGGUGGCUUCUCAAACAAUUUAGUGUUUUUUCCACUCCCUGCAGGCACAGCCCGUGUUCUCCUUGGUCAGUCGUCACAGCUGGUUUGUGGUGAUGCUCCUCAGAUGUCUUCCUCCCUGGGCUCUCCAGCUGGGCGUCCUCAGAGAGAAAGACGGCAGAGCCCGUACCUGGCAAGAUGCACGUGCAGUCCCCUGCUAAUAAGUGUUUUUAUAUUGUGAAUACUGCUUUGCCUGGAUUCUAUUGUGCUGUGGGUAAAAGGAAAUGUCUGAGCAGUUGCUGAAGCCUCCAGUGGUUGGGUUUCCAUGGCAGCUCUCAGAGGGUUGAAUCCCUCCCCAGAAAAGAGUAGUUGAGUUUUCAUUUACAAAGGACAAAAAGGUCUUUACUGUGAUUUUGCUUUGGAAACUUCAGAUAAAUCUCCCUAGCCUUCCAGGUGCCACACGGAGCUGGGAGGAGGGUCGUUGACUUCUGUAACAGUACAACACCCUAGACACAGGAUGGUGGUGAUAUGCAGCAACAAAAGAAUGCUGGCUCUUAAUCAAAAAGGGAAAAAUUAUCAAAUUGACCUACUAGGCAUUCAUCAAGCACCUACUGAUAAUUUCACCUGCCAGAGAUGGCAAAUUUCCACUCUUUCAGGGUUCUGGGUUGAAUGUCAAGACUGCUUGUCUACUUAAUAGGAAAAUGAACUGCGGCAUUCUUUGAGCUGCUAAGCAAAGAUAUGGGUCCAAUCAACCACCACGUUAAACAUUUCAAGAAUCACAGCUUCUAUAAGGAAGUAGAGGUAAUGAUUAUCCAACAUGCUUUGUGAGAACAGCCCAACCCGUGGAAAGUUACCAUAAUGCAACUGAAAGAAUGGGAAACAAUUUUGCCCUAAAAUCUUGGAAAAUGUGAUUCCACUUGACCCAGAAAGAUGUCCAAAAUUUCUUUCCGUUCACUAAUUUUUUCUUCUGAUGUGUCCAAUAUGCAGUCAAAUACAACUAUUGAGUUAUUAUAUUUUUCAUUCUUGUAUUUCUUUUAUUUUGGGAGUUCCUUUCUUUUUUCCAAAUGUGCAUAUCACUUUGGAUGGUGCCGUAUUCCAUGCACAUAUUUUCAUGUUUGACAUUUUUUAAAGACAAGUUUGGGUCCGAUAAUUCCAUUACCUGAAAUCUGUAUGGGUCUGUUUCUAUGGUGAUUUUUUAUGGUUCCUAUUUAUGUUGAGGUUGUCUUGUUUUCUUGUAUGCCUGGUAAUCCUUGACUGUUCGGUGGUCACUGGUCUUAUAUAAUUAUUCGUGAGUGUUCUCUGAGGCCUAGUAGAUGUGCCUCCUCCUGAGAUGAGCUAUUAGUCAAAACACCUCAGAACAAGUUCAAGUUUUGAGAGCCACUUGGUCACAAUCCAGACUCCAUAGAAUGAGAUACACAUUUGUAAGAUGUCUGGCAAGGGCCAGACCACAAAUACCCAAGAAUAGAUGCUUUUCCUCUUUUUUUCCUUUUUUUCUCUCCUUUUGUUUAUCACCAAAACAGGCUUUUGUGGUAUUUCCAGAGGUUCUGGGGAGAGGGGCAGGAUGAGACCUGGUUGCUCUUCACAUUGAGAGUA
Felis catus (domestic cat) is the source of this 13713-nucleotide long non-coding RNA. RefSeq lists it as uncharacterized. The transcript is spliced from 9 exons. The record is from RefSeq and is a predicted model, not a curated record. Lineage: Eukaryota; Metazoa; Chordata; Mammalia; Carnivora; Felidae.